Non-coding RNA from Pelobates cultripes (western spadefoot toad), 1114 nucleotides. The record is from the annotation of a GenBank genome assembly. Lineage: Eukaryota; Metazoa; Chordata; Amphibia; Anura; Pelobatidae.
CCUCUCUAUGAAGCAUUGAAUCAAAGCAGGGUUAUAGAAUACUUUCACCGUGAAUGUGCUAUUACUUCCGUCUAUCCGUCUAUAACAGGCCCUCUCCUGUGUCUCAGUUUAUUCUACUUUUCUGAUCUUUAUUUACAGCCUUCACACAGCACGUUGUUAUCUGCAUUGAACCUUACUCUCAGAGGACAAGCAAAAAGCCUUAAUAAUCUUUAUUUUACCUUCAUUAUAGCCUUGGAGUAGGCUGCCGGCUACCAGACAGUGUGUGUGUGAAUAAUGUAGGGUUCUGGAACAAAGUUCUAUAGAUGGUGGAUCCAAAGAUUAAUCAGUAGAAGAUCAAAGAAGAGGGGCUUAAUAAACCUGCCUCCUAAGCCACAGCCACUCACUCCAGAAAUUAUUCCUUAGUUUAUGUACGCAACUCAGCCCCUAAUAGAAAUUUUACGGAAAUGACGAAAGGUGAGACUGUAUUCUUCAUUCUUUGCCUGACCAUACUGAAACAGUAAGAAAAUAAAAUUCAACGAUUCCAGGCAAACUGUGUGAUUUUAUAAACCCCCAAAAUAAAAUAGGCAAUGUAUUGGAAAGAGAGAGAAACUGUAGCACAAAAUAGUUUUACUAAUUACAUCUCCCCAGUUGUGGUGCAAAAUGUUAACCUGAACAUUGAGUGGGUGGUUAUAGGGUGUUUGACCACAUGCGAUGGAGAACGGGUGUAGAGCAUCAUUUAACCAUUUUGCAGAUAACAAGUGGGGUACAGUCUUUGUCCUAGGAUAGAUACCCAGUCCAUUUAUAUAGAUAAUGCACACAGAGCUGUUCACGUUGGAUUAGCAGUAGGCGUUUGUGAUGUCUUAGUCUGACCAUGGAAUAUUAGAAGCUAGAUACAGUUUUUAUGUUGUAGGUGGGCAUUUAGUCUUUGUCUUGCUGAUCAGUAUCAGAGUGUACAUGGAGGUUGCUCUUCUUUUGCCAUCUUCUUUAGAGCCUCCAAAUUGAAAGACAUCACUUGGUAACCAGGGUCCUCGGUAAGGCUCUCCGCACCUAGAGAUUUGUAAAGGUGAAUAGCUGGAUUAUUCCACUUCAAAACAGAGAGGUGUAUCUGGGAGCAACCAGACUUUAGGCCUUCCUG